Prunus avium (sweet cherry) is the source of this 382-nucleotide non-coding RNA. The record is from RefSeq and is a predicted model, not a curated record. NCBI's taxonomy places the organism in Eukaryota, Viridiplantae, Streptophyta, Magnoliopsida, Rosales, Rosaceae.
CUUGGUGACUUAUGCUAUCACCCAAAGUUGGAGGUCCUAUCCUUGCUAGUUGUUUGGGAACAUAGAGACGUGGAGAUGAAUCUGCACUUUGUGUUUCCCUUGUCCAAUGGUUCCCGCGAGCCCUUUUUCAUCAUGAGUGUUUUGAUUUGCUUUCUGGUUCGUUCAAUGUAUAGUAAAAUAUCGCUAUAUAAUUUAUUUCCUCUUAUUUUGUAGCAGGAGUAGCUAUCUUCAUUUUACUAAUCUCAUUUUAUUCAACUCGUGAAGUACAAGGAGUCACAGAGGCAGAAUAAUUCGACGAUUCAUAUAUUUUGUGGCUUAUGAGUUGGCGGUGUGUGUUUUAUUUGGUUAUGAAUUGGGUGAAUAGUAGUUUGAGUGAGUGUCA